Molecule: ribosomal RNA, 491 nt
Filed under: uncultured Dehalococcoides sp.
Lineage: Bacteria; Bacillati; Chloroflexota; Dehalococcoidia; Dehalococcoidales; Dehalococcoidaceae
Description: bacterial SSU rRNA
Rfam family: Bacterial small subunit ribosomal RNA
Source: RNAcentral
UAGAGUUUGAUCCUGGCUCAGGAUGAACGCUGGCGGCGUGCUUAACACAUGCAAGUCGAACGAGUUGGCUUUCGGGCCAGCUAGUGGCGGACGGGUGCGUAACACGUAGGUGACCUGCCCUGGAGUGGGGAAUAAUUCCGCUAACGCGGGACUAAUACCGCAUACGCUCUGUCAUUCAGUUGAUUGAGCAAAGCCUUCGGGCGCUCUAGGAUGGGCCUGCGGCGGAUUAGGUAGUUGGUAGGGUAAUGGCCUACCAAGCCGAUGAUCCGUAGGGGGCGUGAGAGCGUGACCCCCCACAUUGGCACUGAGAUACGGGCCAAACUCCUACGGGAGGCAGCAGUGAGGAAUAUUGCACAAUGGGCGAAAGCCUGAUGCAGCAACGCCGCGUGAGGGACGAAGGCCUUCGGGUCGUAAACCUCUUUUCUGAGGGACGAGAAAAGGACGGUACUCGGGAAUAAGUCUCGGCUAACUACGUGCCAGCAGCCGCGGUA